Molecule: long non-coding RNA, 1059 nt
Organism: Suricata suricatta (meerkat)
Lineage: Eukaryota; Metazoa; Chordata; Mammalia; Carnivora; Herpestidae
Exons: 3
Source: RefSeq, a predicted model, not a curated record
UCGAACUCACGAAAAGUGAGAUCUUGACCUGAGCUGAAGUCAGACGCUUAACUGACCAAGCCGCCCAGGCAUCCCAACUUUUGUUCAUCUUUAAUACAAAACAGGUAAAAGCAAAGAUGAUCAUGUGGAACAUGGAGUGGAAAGUCAAGAGCAUGACCCAUCUGGUUCUGUGUCCCUCUCACCAACUUGAUUUUUUCAUGAGACGUUUCUGGUCCAAGGACUUAGUGUGGAAACCACUUAUCUAAUGCAACUUGCUCAGUUUACAACAGGACAUAAAGUGACCUACCCAGAAUCCCAUAGUUAGUUACUUGGGAGACCAGCUCUCUGUACAGUGAUGUUUCUACUACAUCAUAUUUGGAGCAUCAACGACAAUCCUCCUACUUCCUGAGCCCUCUGUAACCUUUCCUACUCCUCAUGUCAGCAGAGUUCCAUUCAUUAUCUUCUUCUUCCCAUGUUAGUCAAUGGACUUCAUCUCAUUACUGAAAUUCUCCUGACAGCUUAAAGAAAAAUAUAUUGACUCCGCAUACUCAUGAAAGCAGAGUAGGGAGCCGUGGAUAUGCCUUCCUCAGCUAGAGCCCACAGUGACUGUUGGUCCAGAACAUGCCCUGGGAUGGAGGGUUCCAGUCCAGGACCAAAGCUGGUUGGGAUGACAAACCUACCCACAGGACUAUGCUAUUGGAAGUGCGGUGACAUACAAAUCACUUAAUGGAUUGUCAGAUGCCUGGUUGUGCUCAGAAGCCCUUCUCGCUAAGAAGAACAAUGAGACAUGCCAUCUGGUGACAAAGACAUCUUCCUUUGCUGCUUCUGUCCCCUCAUUAAAGCUUCUGCCUUCCGUCUUCUGUCCCAGACAAGGCUCUCUGAGUUGUACAAUGUGAUCAUUCCCCCAGGACCCUGGGGUGGAUAUGUGGAGAUAAGAAAUGGAGUUUCUGAGACAGCCGAGUGACAACGGGAAGACCAUAAAGCUGCUGAGAGCCGACCUGGUACUUGGAUCCAAACCUUCCAGUGUUUUUCCUCCCAAGCCAUGCCAUGUCUCUUAUAUACUUGAUAAAACCCAAUAAA